Molecule: long non-coding RNA, 1443 nt
Organism: Micropterus dolomieu (smallmouth bass)
Lineage: Eukaryota; Metazoa; Chordata; Actinopteri; Centrarchiformes; Centrarchidae
Exons: 4
Source: RefSeq, a predicted model, not a curated record
ACGCAGAGACCGUUUCAGUAAAUAUGCCAAAAAGUUUAAACUUUAAAACCAGCUGCAGCUUUAAAUCUGCAGGACUUUGACAUGUAAAUGAACAUCUAUUAAAUUCAAGACAGACGAGUUCAUUAAGCCUCGCGCCGCCAGGAGACUCUCAGAGACGUUGAGGCCGGUUUCACAGAGCAGCUGGAGUCAGAGUAACAUCUUCACACCCUGAGAGCGUUGACGCUGAACUCUGAGAGAGUCCUGCGUCCUGACUGAGGCGGACCUGGAUCCCUCUGCUCGUCUGAAAGGAUGUGAGGCGGCGGUGUGAGAUGUGGGUCUGGACAGGAUCUCCUCGGCCCUCUGUUUGUACUGCUCCUGCAGGAUCAGACCCUGCUGGUGCUCCCUCUCCGCCUGAGCCCUCUGCUCACUCCGAAGCUGCUGCUGGUGCUUCAUCUGAGCCUUCAGGUCGGCCUGAUACGCCUCGCGGGUCUGCUUCUGACUGCGGGGACCAACAGAGACCAGCAUUUUUAAAAGUCUCCGUCUGGAGGAUGCAGAAGUCUUUACUGACGCACCGCAACACUCCAAACAACACAGGGGCGUCCAGCUGCCAUGGUGACCACAAACACGACGCCGCCGGGGAAGACGGGCCCACGUCGCACUACAAUUCCCAUGAGCCUCUGCGCCGUCGCCGUGGAGAAGGAGCCGGUCGGAGGCAGCAGCGUGUGAAACUGAUCCGGAGCCGAAGCGAACCGAAGACUUCAGCGUCCGCUCCGCCAUGAAUGUGAUUGUGACCUAAAACAAGCUCUUUGCUGAGCCCGCAGACUUCUUGUACCUUUGACUUUUUAAAAAACAUCUUCUUUAAGCACGAUUAUGAGUUUGUGUCCUGCCACCUGCUGGCCAGAGGGACACAUCACAGCUGCCUUCUCUUCAAAUGAAAAUGACAGUUUGAUUUAGCUAAACAGACUUUCUGCGUGUGAUUUAAUCCAUACAGAGUUUUAGACAAGCAGCACUUUAGUUCUGCUUUUAGUUCAGGUCGACGUGCUUUACUGGUAUGAAUGUUGUCAAAGCCGUUUGCAGCUAAAUCAAAAAGUUUGCAUCUCUCAAUAUGACAUAAAAAGAAUUUAUUCACUUUAGCAGUUAUGAGUUACAAAAUAAUAUAAAGCCUAUAUUUGAUAUUUUCUAUGGCGCAUAUAAAGAAUCAGCCCUUGUGAUUUUGAAAUUCUCAAUUUCUGUCUUUUGUUUUAGUCAACGGCUUGUUAAAAAAUAAUAUCCUACUUAUUGGCUGUUAAUUAACGCCACAUUUUAGAUUCCAGAGUCCUGCUGAAACGCUACGACGGAGGCCUUAAGGACCAGCGUUCAGAAUCUGCACAAUAAUACCUGCUCUGAAAUAAAUGAACUAUCUAGUACAAGUCUGAGCAUCAGCAUACUUUUCAGUAAGAUCUCUUUUCAGGUGUCCUUUAAUAU